GAAUCAUCCCAAAACUCUUCCGCAUGUAAAUCUAAAGUUCAUGCAUCAUAAUGGCAGCAGAUGUUCACACACUGUGUCUGACAGGAGGUGGGCUUGUUGAAAGAGAGGCCUAACCCAGAAAGACACAGGACAUUAGAUCACAUGCUGCCACCUCUUUGGCAGCCUGCUCUUCCACUCUCUCAUUUAUAAUAGGAAUAUUUAGGAUGACUCUUAAGCUAUUUGCAUCUUUUAUCAGUAACCUGCACCACAGAUGUUUAAUAUUCACUAUACCCUAGAGAGUACAACUGUGUUUGUAGUUGUUUUAGUUUCUGAACAUCCAAGACACGGCCACCCUAUCUGUUUGAAGUGAGCUAGCCUUUAAGUGCAUCCAAGUAUUUCUUCCUCUAAGUCUGUGGUAUGAUUAUCAUCUCGGAUGAAUCAUGUGGGUUGGAGAGGUUUUGUUGAAUCUAAAGGAAACUUUACCAACCUCCACAAACCAAGCCAUCACAACACAAACUUGUAACAUAUAAAUUGGAAAGACCUGCCCCUGCUGAGGGGGAAAAAAUCAAUAGCUGGGAAAAAAUAUGAGAAAAAAGGAAAGAAUUUGUGUUUUUGGCUCCCAGUCAGGUCAGAGCCGUCUCUCUCACUCACUCCCUUCCUUUUCACUCUCGCCUGUUCCCUUUCCUUUCUUUCUCUUAACUCUCUCUCUCCCACUCCCACUUCUCUCUCACAUCUGGAGGGUAUCUGGUGUGGCUGUGUGACUCCUUGCCUGCUAUGGGACAGCCUGUGUUUGGACUGGACGUCAGACUUCAGUGCAUUUCAGCAAACGCUGUUCGUUGGUGAGGACCAAAGCUUCAGACACAGCAGAGAGGACGAGCAGAGAGCCGACUGUCUUUUGCUGUUGGCCUGGAGAGCUCAACAGCAGACAUGGCCUUUCCCAAACAUUCCAUCCUGUGGACCCUGAGUGUGCUGCUCUUGGCCUGGGUUUUGGUGCGCUGCCAGGCCCCUCUUGAACCGGUGGAAGAGGAGGAGGGAGAGCCAAUGAAGGAGACACCAACAGUGGUGACAAAAUCUGAGCCAGUCCAGUGCCCGUUGGACUGUAGUUGCACGGCAGAGGGGGCAGUGGACUGUGCCGGAGUCGACCUCACAGAGUUCCCCGCGGGCUUGUCCGAUAAAACUCGCCAGCUCUCUCUACAGAACAACAAAAUUGAGGAGAUAACAGUGGAGCACAUUUCCCAUCUGCAUCAGCUUGAGACUCUCAACCUUCAGAACAACUGGCUCACCACAGAUGGUAAACACAGUAACACAAUCUAAACACCUUGCAGGAAUCUGGCAUCAAGCAGGGGAGCAGAUUAUAGACAAGUCUGAAGGGUUGGUUUAUGUGGGACAAACAGGACUGCUGCAUUCCUGUUUCUCAUGCUUAGCUGUGGGUCUGUGUGCUGAUUUGCUCUGUAGUUGAAGCCUCAAACUAUAAGGUCAAUUUAGGGCAAUUUGAGUUUGAUAGGUAGUUAUUCUGCCACUGGGCUGCAGU
Molecule: RNA transcript, 1510 nt
Organism: Lates calcarifer (barramundi perch)
Lineage: Eukaryota; Metazoa; Chordata; Actinopteri; Centropomidae
Gene name: podocan
Exons: 4
Source: RefSeq, a predicted model, not a curated record